GGGGAAAUAGUUAAAGCAUAACAUUUAAUUUGCAAUUAAAAAAUACUAUAUAAAUAAUAGUUUUUCUCA
RNAcentral lists this transfer RNA (69 nucleotides) under Placosternum urus. RNAcentral describes it as "tRNA-Ala". It matches the Rfam family "tRNA". From Rfam's summary of the family: Transfer RNA (tRNA) molecules are approximately 80 nucleotides in length. Lineage: Eukaryota; Metazoa; Arthropoda; Insecta; Hemiptera; Pentatomidae. The record is from RNAcentral.